CCCUUAGAUGUUCUGGGCCGCACGCGCGCUACAAUGGUCUUCGCAAACGGAUGCAUUCUCGAAGGAGAAUGCCAAUCUUGGAAUCUAUGCCUUGGUCGGGACAGUUGCUUGCAAUUUUUCGACUCGAACCAGGAAUUCCUUGUAAUCGUGAUUCAUCACAUCACGAUGAAUACGUCCCUGCCCUUUGUACACACCGCCCGUCGCUCCUACCGAUCGGAGAGUUAGGUGAAUUGUUUUGAUCGAUAAGAUUUGACUAUGGUCAACUCUCGUUGUGAAAUUCUGUGAAUCUGACUGUUUAGAGGAAGGAAAAGUCGUAACA
Molecule: ribosomal RNA, 319 nt
Filed under: uncultured eukaryote
Lineage: Eukaryota
Description: partial 18S ribosomal RNA
Rfam family: Eukaryotic small subunit ribosomal RNA
Source: RNAcentral